AGAUCUCUGUCAGUGUCGCCACCUCCAACGCGAUCCCACCACUGGCUACAUCUUCCCAUCUCCCCCCCAUUCGGCUUUCCGCAGAGACCGCUCCCUCCGUAACUCCCUGGUCAAUUCGUCCCUUCCCACCCAAACCACCCCCUCCCCUGGUAC
Molecule: long non-coding RNA, 153 nt
Organism: Amblyraja radiata (thorny skate)
Lineage: Eukaryota; Metazoa; Chordata; Chondrichthyes; Rajiformes; Rajidae
Exons: 3
Source: RefSeq, a predicted model, not a curated record